CCUACGGGAGGCAGCAGUGAGGAAUAUUGGUCAAUGGCCGGAAGGCUGAACCAGCCAUGCCGCGUGAAGGUCAGUGCCCUAUGGGCGUUAAACUUCUUUUGUGCGGGAGCAAUAAUGGUCACGUGUGGCCAGACGAGAGUACCGUACGAAUAAGCAUCGGCUAACUCCGUGCCAGCAGCCGCGGUAAUACGGGGGAUGCAGGCGUUAUCCGGAUUUAUUGGGGUUAAAGGGUGCGUAGGCUGUGAGGUAAGUCAGCGGUGAAAUGCCCCCGCUCAACGGGGUGAAGUGCCAUUGAUACUGCCUUGCUGGAAUGCGGAUGCCGUGGGAGGAAUGUGUGGUGUAGCGGUGAAAUGCAUAGAUAUCACACAGAACACCGAUUGCGAAGGCAUCUCACGAAUCCGCGAUUGACGCUGAUGCACGAAAGCGUGGGUAUCAAACAGGAUUAGAUACCCGUGUAGUC
Molecule: ribosomal RNA, 460 nt
Filed under: uncultured bacterium
Lineage: Bacteria
Description: partial 16S ribosomal RNA
Rfam family: Bacterial small subunit ribosomal RNA
Source: RNAcentral